Molecule: ribosomal RNA, 785 nt
Filed under: uncultured bacterium
Lineage: Bacteria
Description: bacterial SSU rRNA
Rfam family: Bacterial small subunit ribosomal RNA
Source: RNAcentral
AGAGUUUGAUCAUGGCUCAGGACGAACGCUGGCGGCGUGCUUAACACAUGCAAGUCGAACGGUAAGGCCCUUCGGGGUACACGAGUGGCGAACGGGUGAGUAACACGUGGGUAAUCUGCCCUGCACAUCGGGAUAAGCCUGGGAAACUGGGUCUAAUACCGAAUAGGACCACAGGACACAUGUCCUGUGGUGGAAAGCUUUUGCGGUGUGGGAUGGGCCCGCGGCCUAUCAGCUUGUUGGUGGGGUGAUGGCCUACCAAGGCGACGACGGGUAGCCGGCCUGAGAGGGUGUCCGGCCACACUGGGACUGAGAUACGGCCCAGACUCCUACGGGAGGCAGCAGUGGGGAAUAUUGCACAAUGGGCGAAAGCCUGAUGCAGCGACGCCGCGUGGGGGAUGACGGCCUUCGGGUUGUAAACCUCUUUCACCAUCGACGAAGGUCCGGGUUUUCUCGGGCUGACGGUAGGUGGAGAAGAAGCACCGGCCAACUACGUGCCAGCAGCCGCGGUAAUACGUAGGGUGCGAGCGUUGUCCGGAAUUACUGGGCGUAAAGAGCUCGUAGGUGGUUUGUCGCGUUGUUCGUGAAAUCUCACGGCUUAACUGUGAGCGUGCGGGCGAUACGGGCAGACUUGAGUACUGCAGGGGAGACUGGAAUUCCUGGUGUAGCGGUGGAAUGCGCAGAUAUCAGGAGGAACACCGGUGGCGAAGGCGGGUCUCUGGGCAGUAACUGACGCUGAGGAGCGAAAGCGUGGGGAGCGAACAGGAUUAGAUACCCCGGUAGUCCAA